Molecule: long non-coding RNA, 3387 nt
Filed under: Cricetulus griseus (Chinese hamster)
Lineage: Eukaryota; Metazoa; Chordata; Mammalia; Rodentia; Cricetidae
Description: lncRNA (ENSCGRG00015043137.1)
Source: RNAcentral
AGGAAAUGAGGCAAUCUAAGAUUAAUCAGCGGCCACCAGUCGGACAGAGCUAGAAGUCCAAGCCAUAGCCAGCUACUUCUGGUUAACAUUCACCCUUUACCCACAAGGCACCCAGGACACCAACAUGCUGAGUUCUAGUGAGAAAGGGAAUGAGCCCCUCCUUGGGUUCAAGCAUCCUUUCUCUGUGAUCCUAGACCUCAGAUCUAGCAGAGCCUCAAAUUACAAGGAUGUGAAGACUGGCAUGGCCAUCGUGUGAGAAAGCUCACCCGCACCUAAUCCUCUCACUUUAGUCUGUGAUGUGUGCACUCUGGCUGUUGGUGGAAGGCAUAGCUUGCAGCCCUGGAAGGAGAGUAUCCUAAAUGUUUUGUCCAGGGUGGUGCAAAAGUUUAUGCAUGGCCAUUCCAAAAUUUGAGCUGGAUAGCUGCUCCAGUUGGAGUGACAGAUGAGAUAGAACCAGUGGGUCUGUUUUUAGCUACCCGCUAUUAAAUCUCAUCCAUAAUCAAAGAACUCUUAUUGGCCGGGCAGUGGUGGCGCUCACUUUUAAUCCCAGCACUUCGGAAGCAGAGACAGACCUAUUUGUGAGUUCCAGGCCAGCCUGAUUUACAAAGCAAGUUCCAGGACAGGCUCCAAAGCUACAGAUAACCCUUAUUUCGAGUUGAUACAAGGGCCCAUGUUAGAAACCUCAUUGGAUAAAUCAAGCAUUCUGUAAGCCUUCACAGAAGAACCAGAAGAGACAUCAUAGGCAAUGACGUCUACUAUGGAGAAGAUGUCAAUUUUAGUGUGAAGCAUUGUCCUUCCCUUGAUAGAAGAGGCCAAUAUAAUCAAUCUGUCACCAAGAGACUGACUAAAAGCCUCAUGGGAGUUCUAAAAGACAGAAGCUAACUGGUGUCUGUCAGGGAGUCCUCCUGUCCACAUGGCUGUUUACUGCAUCUUUUGAGGUGAAUGCCCUCUGACAGGAUUGUCCUGGAACUCACUCUGUGGACCAGACUGGCCUCAAACCCAGAUAUCUACCUGCCUCUGCCUCUUGAGUGCUGGAAUUAAAGCUCACCCCAAGGCACAAGAUUUUUCCUCCAUCAGUUUAUCAUACAAAGGCGAUGGCAUGAUCUGAGAAACUGACUCUGAUACAGCAGAGGAGGAAGACACUGGGAUCCUGGCCAUGUGUUCACUUAAUUGCCUUGUGUUCUUUGGAUCUACUCCCAGUAACCUUCCAUCAUACUUGAAAGGCAGCUCCAGCUUCAAAGUCAUUUGAUGUCUCAUGGUCAAUUCCACAAUGUCCUUUAAAUGACUCUUCUUCCAAUGAGUAGCUAAGGGUAAUUCAUUACAAAAGGAAUACCCUUGCACUAGGUUUCCAUGGCUCUGUCCUGAAAUUCUAAUAGCAAACCUUCAAUAGACUCCACACGGCAGGCAUCUUUAUCUACCAUGAAUAACCUUCCUGCACACAGGGCAUUUUGGCCCACAGCAUCGAUCUGCUACAAAGUCUCUCCUUGAUAUGUAUUUGAACCACAAAAUGGAUGAAUCAAUGGUGUACAAUGCUAUGUGUUUUUCUCAGAAACAAGGGAUAGUUGGGAUACAGUAUCCUAUCUCAGACCAGUGGAUCCUCACAAUAUUUUCAUCUCUAUGACAGAGCUCUAAAUUUUAGGGGAAGGGAGAUUUCUCUCUCAUCUACCUUAUAUUUUGUUCUGAUCCAAUUAGUAUUAUGCACUGUAGAAUGACAGCAUGAUCAAGGACCCUGUGGCUAUAUUGUGACAGAAUUAGCACCACCCACCUGGGCAAGGCAAGAAAUCUACAUUGCUGUUUUCCCCAUUCAUGAACAAAAUAACUUUGAAUUUCCUUACUGAUAAGGACUUAAUUUAGGGGUGGGCGAGGGUUGACACAGGUCUCUAUAUAACCUUGGCUGGUCUGGAACUCACUCUAUAGAACAGGCUGGCCUUGAACUCACAGAGAUCCACUGGCCUCUGCCUCCUGAGUACUAGAAUUAAAGGUGUGUGCCACCUGAGCUGGGUGGUGGUUGUGGCGAUGGCAUCGGUGGAGGCAGCAGCACAUGCCCUUAAUCCCCGUACUCAAGAGGCAGAGGCAGCCUGGUCUAUAGAGUGAGUUCCAGGAUGGCUAUGGCUGUUACACAGAGAAACCCUGUCUCGAAACACCAUUUAAAAAAAAAAAGCAGGGAGGUGGGGGGUGGGGUGGGCGUGUGUCAUCAUACCUAGCCCUUGAUGAGAACUUAAAAGACUGUACUCACUAGUGCAGUGCUGCACACCAAGUGUCAAACGCUUUAUUGGUCUGCUUUGGUAGAGAUUGUCCCAGGUGCAUUUGGAGCUAUGGCUUGGCUAAACCAAUGGAAAGCCACUGUCAUCCAGUCUGUAGUUCCCUGUACCAAUGAACCCAGUGGGCAUGUGAUAGGAAAUGCCAUUGUUGUGCCUUUAGUCUUCGGUGUGAAGGGACCAGCUCCCCUUUCGGCAGCAAUAACAGCCGAACACAUGCUUGCCAUAAACUUGCCUUGGUCACUUAGAGGUCAGAUGCCUGCCUUGUGACAAGGAACCAAUCAGAAGUUAGUCACUAGAAAGUCAGAUGUCUGCCUUGUGACAAGGAACCAAUCAGAAGUUAGCUGGUGGCGCUAUGCUUUACGACCCUGGGUGUGCUUUACGGACAAGUGCACAGCAAUGACGCACAAAGCAUAGCAACCACCCUGGGAGGGCCUAUGGGCCAUAACAACCAGUUGACCAAUCAACACAGGGCAAGCCCUCCAAGCCUGGAGGCACACCAAUCGUGAGCCUGUGCAUACCCCUAGACACUCCCCUUAGGCUGCCCUACAAGAUCGGUACACAGCGGGUUCGAGCUGUCUUUUCUAGCCAUCCGCCAUGGCGGGUGGGUGAAAGACCCGAGCUAGCAUGGGGUUAGCUAGUUAAAUUACAAUAAAGCCUCGUGCAGUUUGCAGCAAGCUCUCGAAUCUGCCUGGUGAUUGGGGUGACCGAAGUCGUGGCCUGGGAUCCCGGAUACUUGAGUUUUCCGGGUGUCUAACAGGUGGAGGGGCUGAUCUCUGCAAUUCUUCACCCAAUGUGAUUGGUGAGAUAUCUGGCAUGCCGUCUGCCAACUGUUAGAUAUAUCCAUCCCAAUGUAGAAAACCCAGAAAUAACUGCAAAAUGAAUCUGUGGGCCCAUUAGACCUACGUUGAAAGAAAUGUGAGGCAGACUCUUUACCUUGCCUUUACUGGCCUGUUCUGGGCAGGGAGCCAUGACAGUGCUUCAGGUCCUCUUUGGUCCUUGACAGAGCCAGACAAUCCUUUCUCUGUGGUCAACACCUACUCUAGAAUAUAGCCAUGGGUCCCUAAAGGAAGAUCCAGAGGCUACGUGCAUGUGUGAGCACACACCAGACACACACACACACACACAC